CCUACGGGAGGCAGCAGUGAGGAAUAUUGGUCAAUGGGCGCGAGCCUGAACCAGCCAAGUCGCGUGAGGGAUGACGGUCCUAUGGAUUGUAAACCUCUUUUGUCGGGGAGCAAAAGCCGCCACGCGUGGCGUUCCGAGAGUACCCGAAGAAAAAGCAUCGGCUAACUCCGUGCCAGCAGCCGCGGUAAUACGGAGGAUGCGAGCGUUAUCCGGAUUUAUUGGGUUUAAAGGGUGCGCAGGCGGAAGGUCAAGUCAGCGGUAAAAUUGCGGGGCUCAACCUCGUCGAGCCGUUGAAACUGGUUUGCUUGAGUGAGUGAGAAGUAUGCGGAAUGCGUGGUGUAGCGGUGAAAUGCAUAGAUAUCACGCAGAACUCCGAUUGCGAAGGCAGCAUACCGGCGCUCAACUGACGCUGAUGCACGAAAGUGUGGGUAUCGAACAGGAUUAGAUACCCGUGUAGUC
This 459-nucleotide ribosomal RNA is filed under the name uncultured bacterium. RNAcentral's name for it is "partial 16S ribosomal RNA". It matches the Rfam family "Bacterial small subunit ribosomal RNA", at positions 338 to 795 of the family's 1533-position model. The record is from RNAcentral.